UCAGGACGAACGCUGGCGGCGUGCUUAACACAUGCAAGUCGAACGAUGAAGCACCAGCUUGCUGGUGUGGAUUAGUGGCGAACGGGUGAGUAACACGUGAGUAACCUGCCCCUCACUCUGGGAUAAGCCUGGGAAACUGGGUCUAAUACUGGAUACGACCGAUCUCCGCAUGGAGUGUUGGUGGAAAGUUUUUGUGGUGGGGGAUGGACUCGCGGCCUAUCAGCUUGUUGGUGGGGUAAUGGCCUACCAAGGCGACGACGGGUAGCCGGCCUGAGAGGGCGACCGGCCACACUGGGACUGAGACACGGCCCAGACUCCUACGGGAGGCAGCAGUGGGGAAUAUUGCACAAUGGGCGAAAGCCUGAUGCAGCGACGCCGCGUGAGGGAUGACGGCCUUCGGGUUGUAAACCUCUUUCACCAGGGACGAAGCUAACGUGACGGUACCUGGAGAAGAAGCACCGGCUAACUACGUGCCAGCAGCCGCGGUAAUACGUAGGGUGCGAGCGUUGUCCGGAAUUAUUGGGCGUAAAGAGCUUGUAGGCGGUUUGUCGCGUCUGCUGUGAAAGACCGGGGCUUAACUCCGGUUCUGCAGUGGGUACGGGCAGACUAGAGUGUGGUAGGGGAGACUGGAAUUCCUGGUGUAGCGGUGAAAUGCGCAGAUAUCAGGAGGAACACCGAUGGCGAAGGCAGGUCUCUGGGCCAUUACUGACG
This 711-nucleotide ribosomal RNA is filed under the name Dermacoccus nishinomiyaensis. Its description in RNAcentral is "bacterial SSU rRNA". It matches the Rfam family "Bacterial small subunit ribosomal RNA", at positions 24 to 745 of the family's 1533-position model. The record is from RNAcentral. Lineage: Bacteria; Bacillati; Actinomycetota; Actinomycetes; Micrococcales; Dermacoccaceae.